This 2825-nucleotide ribosomal RNA is filed under the name Klebsiella pneumoniae. Its description in RNAcentral is "bacterial LSU rRNA". It matches the Rfam family "Bacterial large subunit ribosomal RNA". The record is from RNAcentral. Lineage: Bacteria; Pseudomonadati; Pseudomonadota; Gammaproteobacteria; Enterobacterales; Enterobacteriaceae.
GGGUUGUGAGGUUAAGCGACUAAGCGUACACGGUGGAUGCCCUGGCAGUCAGAGGCGAUGAAGGACGUGCUAAUCUGCGAAAAGCGUCGGUAAGGUGAUAUGAACCGUUAUAACCGGCGAUGUCCGAAUGGGGAAACCCAGUGCAAUUCGUUGCACUAUCGUUAACUGAAUACAUAGGUUAACGAGGCGAACCGGGGGAACUGAAACAUCUAAGUACCCCGAGGAAAAGAAAUCAACCGAGAUUCCCCCAGUAGCGGCGAGCGAACGGGGAGCAGCCCAGAGUCUGAAUCAGCUUGUGUGUUAGUGGAACGGUCUGGAAAGUCCGACGGUACAGGGUGAUAGUCCCGUACACCAAAAUGCACAGGCUGUGAACUCGAAGAGUAGGGCGGGACACGUGGUAUCCUGUCUGAAUAUGGGGGGACCAUCCUCCAAGGCUAAAUACUCCUGACUGACCGAUAGUGAACCAGUACCGUGAGGGAAAGGCGAAAAGAACCCCGGCGAGGGGAGUGAAAAAGAACCUGAAACCGUGUACGUACAAGCAGUGGGAGCACCUUCGGGUGUGACUGCGUACCUUUUGUAUAAUGGGUCAGCGACUUAUAUUCUGUAGCAAGGUUAACCGUAUAGGGGAGCCGCAGGGAAACCGAGUCUUAACUGGGCGUUAAGUUGCAGGGUAUAGACCCGAAACCCGGUGAUCUAGCCAUGGGCAGGUUGAAGGUUGGGUAACACUAACUGGAGGACCGAACCGACUAAUGUUGAAAAAUUAGCGGAUGACUUGUGGCUGGGGGUGAAAGGCCAAUCAAACCGGGAGAUAGCUGGUUCUCCCCGAAAGCUAUUUAGGUAGCGCCUCGUGAACUCAUCUUCGGGGGUAGAGCACUGUUUCGGCUAGGGGGUCAUCCCGACUUACCAACCCGAUGCAAACUACGAAUACCGAAGAAUGUUAUCACGGGAGACACACGGCGGGUGCUAACGUCCGUCGUGAAGAGGGAAACAACCCAGACCGCCAGCUAAGGUCCCAAAGUCAUGGUUAAGUGGGAAACGAUGUGGGAAGGCACAGACAGCCAGGAUGUUGGCUUAGAAGCAGCCAUCAUUUAAAGAAAGCGUAAUAGCUCACUGGUCGAGUCGGCCUGCGCGGAAGAUGUAACGGGGCUAAACCAUGCACCGAAGCUGCGGCAGCGACACUAUGUGUUGUUGGGUAGGGGAGCGUUCUGUAAGCCUGCGAAGGUGACCUGUGAGGGUUGCUGGAGGUAUCAGAAGUGCGAAUGCUGACAUAAGUAACGAUAAAGCGGGUGAAAAGCCCGCUCGCCGGAAGACCAAGGGUUCCUGUCCAACGUUAAUCGGGGCAGGGUGAGUCGACCCCUAAGGCGAGGCCGAAAGGCGUAGUCGAUGGGAAACAGGUUAAUAUUCCUGUACUUGGUGUUACUGCGAAGGGGGGACGGAGAAGGCUAUGUUAGCCGGGCGACGGUUGUCCCGGUUUAAGCAUGUAGGCUGAUUGUCCAGGCAAAUCCGGAUAAUCAAGGCUGAGGUGUGAUGACGAGGCACUACGGUGCUGAAGUAACAAAUGCCCUGCUUCCAGGAAAAGCCUCUAAGCAUCAGGUAACAUCAAAUCGUACCCCAAACCGACACAGGUGGUCAGGUAGAGAAUACCAAGGCGCUUGAGAGAACUCGGGUGAAGGAACUAGGCAAAAUGGUGCCGUAACUUCGGGAGAAGGCACGCUGGUGUGUAGGUGAAGUCCCUGCGGAUGGAGCUGAGACCAGUCGAAGAUACCAGCUGGCUGCAACUGUUUAUUAAAAACACAGCACUGUGCAAACACGAAAGUGGACGUAUACGGUGUGACGCCUGCCCGGUGCCGGAAGGUUAAUUGAUGGGGUUAUCCGUAAGGAGAAGCUCUUGAUCGAAGCCCCGGUAAACGGCGGCCGUAACUAUAACGGUCCUAAGGUAGCGAAAUUCCUUGUCGGGUAAGUUCCGACCUGCACGAAUGGCGUAAUGAUGGCCAGGCUGUCUCCACCCGAGACUCAGUGAAAUUGAACUCGCUGUGAAGAUGCAGUGUACCCGCGGCAAGACGGAAAGACCCCGUGAACCUUUACUAUAGCUUGACACUGAACAUUGAGCCUUGAUGUGUAGGAUAGGUGGGAGGCUUUGAAGCGUGGACGCCAGUCUGCGUGGAGCCAACCUUGAAAUACCACCCUUUAAUGUUUGAUGUUCUAACGUUGGCCCCUUAUCGGGGUUGCGGACAGUGUCUGGUGGGUAGUUUGACUGGGGCGGUCUCCUCCCAAAGCGUAACGGAGGAGCACGAAGGUUAGCUAAUCCUGGUCGGACAUCAGGAGGUUAGUGCAAUGGCAUAAGCUAGCUUGACUGCGAGCGUGACGGCGCGAGCAGGUGCGAAAGCAGGUCAUAGUGAUCCGGUGGUUCUGAAUGGAAGGGCCAUCGCUCAACGGAUAAAAGGUACUCCGGGGAUAACAGGCUGAUACCGCCCAAGAGUUCAUAUCGACGGCGGUGUUUGGCACCUCGAUGUCGGCUCAUCACAUCCUGGGGCUGAAGUAGGUCCCAAGGGUAUGGCUGUUCGCCAUUUAAAGUGGUACGCGAGCUGGGUUUAGAACGUCGUGAGACAGUUCGGUCCCUAUCUGCCGUGGGCGCUGGAGAAUUGAGGGGGGCUGCUCCUAGUACGAGAGGACCGGAGUGGACGCAUCACUGGUGUUCGGGUUGUCAUGCCAAUGGCACUGCCCGGUAGCUAAAUGCGGAAGAGAUAAGUGCUGAAAGCAUCUAAGCACGAAACUUGCCCCGAGAUGAGUUCUCCCUGAGACUUUAAGUCUCCUGAAGGAACGUU